UACGUAGGGGGCAAGCGUUAUCCGGAUUUACUGGGUGUAAAGGGAGCGUAGACGGCGAUGCAAGUCUGAAGUGAAAGGCGGGGGCCCAACCCCCGGACUGCUUUGGAAACUGUAUGGCUGGAGUGCAGGAGAGGUAUGUGGAAUUCCUAGUGUAGCGGUGAAAUGCGUAGAUAUUAGGAGGAACACCAGUGGCGAAGGCGGCUUACUGGACUGUAACUGACGUUGAGGCUCGAAAGCGUGGGGAGCAAACAGG
RNAcentral lists this ribosomal RNA (253 nucleotides) under uncultured bacterium. RNAcentral describes it as "partial 16S ribosomal RNA". It matches the Rfam family "Bacterial small subunit ribosomal RNA", at positions 524 to 776 of the family's 1533-position model. The record is from RNAcentral.